CCUACGGGAGGCUGCAGUGGGGGAUAUUGCACAAUGGGGGGAACCCUGAUGCAGCGACGCCGCGUGGGUGAAGAAGCGCCUCGGCGCGUAAAGCCCUGUCAGCAGGGAAGAAAAUGACGGUACCUGAAGCAGAAGCCCCGGCUAACUACGUGCCAGCAGCCGAGAUAAUACGUAGGGGGCAAGCGUUAUCCGGAUUUACGGGGGGUAAAGGGGGCGCAGGCGGCGAUGCAAGCCAGGAGUGAAAGCCCGGGGCCCAACCCCGGGACUGCUCUUGGAACUGGGUGGCUGGAGUGCAGGAGGGGCAGGCGGAAUGCCUGGUGUAGCGGUGAAAUGCGGAGAUAUCAGGAGGAACACCGGUGGCGAAGGCGGCCUGCUGGACUGCAACUGACGUUGAGGCCCGAAAGCGUGGGGAGCGAACAGGAUUAGAUACCCUUGUAGUC
This 440-nucleotide ribosomal RNA is filed under the name uncultured bacterium. RNAcentral describes it as "partial 16S ribosomal RNA". It matches the Rfam family "Bacterial small subunit ribosomal RNA", at positions 338 to 795 of the family's 1533-position model. The record is from RNAcentral.